UACGAAGGGGGCUAGCGUUGUUCGGAAUUACUGGGCGUAAAGGGCGCGUAGGCGGUACUUCAAGUCAGGCGUGAAAGCCCCGGGCUCAACCUGGGAACCGCGCUUGAGACUGGAGAACUAGAGUUCGGGAGAGGAUGGUGGAAUUCCCAGUGUAGAGGUGAAAUUCGUAGAUAUUGGGAAGAACACCGAUGGCGAAGGCAGCCAUCUGGACCGACACUGACGCUGAGGCGCGAAAGCCAGGGGAGCGAACGGG
RNAcentral lists this ribosomal RNA (253 nucleotides) under uncultured bacterium. RNAcentral's name for it is "partial 16S ribosomal RNA". It matches the Rfam family "Bacterial small subunit ribosomal RNA", at positions 524 to 776 of the family's 1533-position model. The record is from RNAcentral.